Molecule: ribosomal RNA, 753 nt
Filed under: uncultured organism
Description: bacterial SSU rRNA
Rfam family: Bacterial small subunit ribosomal RNA
Source: RNAcentral
GAAAAGCUCCUUCGGGAGCCGAGUACAGUGGCAAACGGGUGAGUAACGCGUGGAAAACCUGCCCUUCGGUUGGGGACAACAUCUCUAACGGGGUGCUAAUACCGAAUACGACCACGGAGUCGCAUGGCUCUGUGAUGAAAGGCGGCCUCUACUUGUAAGCCGUCGCCGAGGGAUGGUUCCGCGUCCCAUUAGCUGGUUGGUGAGGUAAUGGCUCACCAAGGCGAGGAUGGGUAGCCGGCCUUAGCGGGUGACCGGCCACACUGGGACUGAGAUACGGCCCAGACUUCUACGGGAGGCAGCAGUCGAGAGGCAUCCACAAUGGGGGAAACCCUGAUGGUGCGACGCCGCGUGGGCGAUGAAGGUCUUCGGAUCGUAAAGCCCUUUCAGCAAGGACGAUAAGGACGAGUGUUAAUAUCAUUCGACCCGAGACGGUACUUGCAUAAGAAGCUCCGGCUAACUCCGUGCCAGCAGCCGCGGUAAGACGGGGGGAGCAAGCGUUGUUCGGAAUUACUGGGCGUAAAGGGCGUCUAGGCGGACUUAUAAGUCAGAUGUGAAAUCCCCCGGCUCAACCGGGGAACUGCAUUUGAUACUGUAGGUCUUGAGUUCGGAAGAGGAAAGCGGAAUUCCUGGUGUAGCGGUGAAAUGCGUAGAUAUCAGGAAGAACACCGGUGGCGAAGGCGGCUUUCUGGUCCGUUACUGACGCUGAAGCGCGACAGUGUGGGGAGCGAACAGGAUUAGAUACCCUGGUAGUCC